Molecule: non-coding RNA, 96 nt
Organism: Mycena capillaripes
Lineage: Eukaryota; Fungi; Basidiomycota; Agaricomycetes; Agaricales; Mycenaceae
Source: the annotation of a GenBank genome assembly
GGCUCGGUGGCGCAUGGCAGCGCGUCUGCUAGUGUUGUUUAAUUUGGAGGUAGACAGUUCAUGCAGAAGAAUCUCGUUCGAUUCGGGGCCGGGCCA